Molecule: ribosomal RNA, 976 nt
Filed under: human oral metagenome
Description: bacterial LSU rRNA
Rfam family: Bacterial large subunit ribosomal RNA
Source: RNAcentral
CGAAAUUCCUUGUCGGGUAAGUUCCGACCCGCACGAAUGGUGUAACGAUUCUGGGCGCUGUCUCAACGCGGGACUCGGUGAAACUUAUAUUCCGGUAAAGAAGCCGGAUACCCGUAAUUAGACGGAAAGACCCCGUGAACCUUCACCGCAGCUUAUCACUGGGAUUCUAUCCGCCAUGUGUAGGAUAGCCGGGAGGCUAUGAAGCGUGCGCGUUAGCGUGCGUGGAGCCGUUGGUGAAAUACCGGCCCUGGCGGAUGGGAUUUCUAACUCCGGUCCGUGAAGCCGGAUGGGGGACAGUGAUUGGCGGGCGGUUUGACUGGGGCGGUCGCCUCCUAAAGGGUAACGGAGGCGCGCGAAGGUCUCCUCGCGGUGGUUGGAAAUCAUCGUACGAGUGUAAAGGCACAAGGAGGCUUGACUGCGAGUGAGACAUCACGAGCAGGUGCGAAAGCAGGUCUUAGUGAUCUGGCGGUUGCAAGUGGAAGCGCCGUCACUUAACGGACAAAAGGUACUCCGGGGAUAACAGGCUGAUUUUCCCCAAGAGUUCACAUCGACGGGAAAGUUUGGCACCUCGAUGUCGGCUCAUCGCAUCCUGGGGCUGAAGUAGGUCCCAAGGGUUUGGCUGUUCGCCAAUUAAAGCGGUACGUGAGCUGGGUUCAGAACGUCGCGAGACAGUUCGGUCCCUAUCUGUUACGGGCGGAGGAUGUUUGAGAGGGGCUGCUUUUAGUACGAGAGGACCGAAGUGGACGAACCUCUGGUGUACCAGUUAUCCUGCCAAGGGUAAGUGCUGGGUAGCUAUCGUUCGGAAGGGAUAACCGCUGAAGGCAUCUAAGCGGGAAGCCCACCUCAAGAUUACAUAUCCCUCGGGGUUUAACCCCGCUAAAGACUCCUUGCACACUACAAGGUUGAUAGGUUGCAGGUCUAAGCACAGUAAUGUGUUCUAGCCGAGCAAUACUAAUAAGUCGUGAGGCUUGACCAU